RNAcentral lists this transfer RNA (64 nucleotides) under Pedetes capensis (springhare). RNAcentral's name for it is "tRNA-Cys". Lineage: Eukaryota; Metazoa; Chordata; Mammalia; Rodentia; Pedetidae. The record is from RNAcentral.
GUCCUGAGGUGAAGUGUUCAUAUUGAAUUGCAAAUUCAAAGAUGCAGUGACUCUGCCGGGACUU